UGGGGAAUCUUGGACAAUGGGGCGAACCCUGAUCCAGCCAUGCCGCGUGAGUGAUGAAGGCCUUAGGGUCGUAAAGCUCUUUCGCCUGUGAAGAUAAUGACGGUAGCAGGUAAAGAAACCCCGGCUAACUCCGUGCCAGCAGCCGCGGUAAUACGGAGGGGGGUUAGCGUUGUUCGGAAUUACUGGGCGUAAAGCGCACGUAGGCGGACCAGAAAGUUGGGGGUGAAAUCCCAGGGCUCAACCUUGGAACUGCCUUUAAAACUGCUAGUCUAGAGACCGGAAGAGGUUAGGGGAAUACCUAGUGUAGAGGUGAAAUUCGUAGAUAUUAGGUGGAACACCAGUGGCGAAGGCGCCUAACUGGUCCGGUACUGACGCUGAGGAACGAAAGCGUGGGGAGCAAACAGGAUUAGAUACCCUGGUAGUCCACGCCGUAAACGAUGAGUGCUAGAUGUUGGGAGACUUGAUUUCUUAGUGGCGCAGCUAACGCACUAAGUAGACCGCCUGGGAGUACGGCCGCAAGGUUAAAACUC
Molecule: ribosomal RNA, 530 nt
Filed under: uncultured bacterium
Lineage: Bacteria
Description: bacterial SSU rRNA
Rfam family: Bacterial small subunit ribosomal RNA
Source: RNAcentral